GGCGUGUGCCACCACACGUGGCUAAUUUUUCAAAAACUCUAAAGAUGGGGCUUACUAUGUUGCUCAGGCUGCCACCGCUCUUUACCAGCCUUUCUUGCUCCUCAUGUUUUGACAUCUGAACCAAUCCCAGCCAGUGGGACUCUAGGCGAUGUCUGCUGGUGGGCUUCUGGGCUUUCUAAUAAAGACAAAGUGUCCUUUUCUUUGGCCAGGUGUUAUGUCUGCAAUGAUGGUAUCUGAAGCAACCAUGUGGAUCCCAUGAGAACAGCCUAAAGGCCAGGGCAGUGGCUGAGAUGGAGAGCCUGGCUCUUCAUGACAUCAUUGGGCCACUGAACCAACCCUGUGACCACAGACUUUUUGCCCUUGCAUAUGCAGCAGAGUCUGAAUUCCCAUCUGCUGGGAGCACAGAAAGGGGCACAGCAUCCUGGUUACAAACCUGAAGUCUACACAUCUCUCACUAAUGAAGCCAUCACAGUCUGGAGCCAGGUCUUCCCAUUUGAAUGAGGAGAGAGGACAGAGUCACAUUUGCUUGCCUUUUACUGCUUACUGACUCAAUAGCAUCAGGGAAGGUUUACUUUAUGAACCUGGCACAAAGUAGGUUCUGGGCCUGAUGUUAACAACAUUCACUCUGCCCUCUUCACAAAUGAAAAGGUGGAACAUUUCUGACUUCUAGUAAAUUCACAUUGCAAUGACUUUCUCUGGACACAGAUCUCGCAGUUCUCCCAUCCCUCAAGGCUGCUGUGAUUAAUUUAUUUUAAAAAGUCUUUCACAGUUUGAGGAGAAGAACAGUUGAAAAGCUCUAGGUAGAGGUUAAUUUGGUGUUCACAAAUCAAGUGAUAGCCCACUCUAUCUCAUAGCUUAAUGAAUAGUAGGAUUAGGAGAGUAACUUCACUUUUGUAUUGAAUCCCUUUUUAUAUGUACCUUUAAAAACUUUUGCACUUCCUUUUUUUCUCCUUCAGUGAACCUUAGCAUAUAAACAAAAUAUUUUUUUUAAAAAGCAUUUUAUAUGUAGACAUGAACUUUUAUAUUUCUCAGACUUAAAUUUGAAAGCAGGUAGAGUAGGCAGUUUGUUUUGCCUGCUUAACUCCUUUCCCUUUUGUUUUUUAAAAAAAUAGUUUAUUCUUUUUAAGAGAUUGGGGUCUCACCGUGUUGACCAGGCUGGUCUCAAACUCCUGAGCUCAAGUGAUCCUCCUGCCUUGGCCUCCCAAAGUAUAGUUAUUACAGGCGAGACCCACUAUGUCUGGCCCCAACCUUUUCUAGAAAAUUCUGGAAUUGUCUAAUCCAUGAACUCCAUCUGCAUGGUUAGUGCAAGUCACCAUGUUACUACUAUAUGGCCCAAGCCAUGAGUACUACCCACUCUUCAGAGCCUAGAAUCCUGGAGAGAGUUUACCUCUAUUUCAUUCUGUCUCCAAAGUUUACAGUGUUUCUUCCUGCAUCUUGUGAAAACCUUUGCAGACGGAUAUUCUUUCCUGAACACUUUCCUCAAGCUGCAUCGUGCUGUGUUGCUGGAGUCUGUCAUCUAUGUAUAAUGUAACCCUUGUUACCUGAUAGUAAUUACUAUAAACUUUGUCGAUGCGUUACUAUGAAGAGGGGUAAAAGUUGUGUUAGGUUUACAAUAAACAUUUUUUGUUGCAUACAUUGUAUACAUGUUUAUAAAUUGCCUUGUUUUGAACCAGAGCCAGGCUUAUUCCCAUUCCAAAUGAAAGCACCAAAGUCUCAAAACCUCCUGCCUCUUGCUUCUGUUAUGCUUUGGUCUUAUCCUCUACCCAUGAAUUGUUUCUUUGCUUUCCACACAGAACCCCAACUCAAGCUAUUCCAACUCAGAAGCAUAGAGAAAUUAUAAAAUUCAAGAACAGAUAUUAGAAUGGAAAAUGAGUUUAACUUAAAAGAAUACCAACAGUCUCAGGUUUAAAGUCUAACAACUUUAUGUGUUUAUUUUUGCUUUAAUCCUGUCAUCAUGGGUAAAUUUUUAGCUGUUCAUUUUUAUACAACAACAUAGGAUCAGAGAUAACGUGAACACAUUAGUCUCUACAAGGCUAAUUCUACCCCAGCACCCAUCAAAGUGACCCAAAUGACACGCCAUGCAUCUUGAGUGACGUGCACUGCCAUAUACUCUGAGCUCUACUACAGGUAAUGUUACACCAAAUUGACGUUGUAACUGUGAUUCAAAUGUCUCUUAGAGACAAAUAUAGAACAGUAGGUAAAAUAACCCUGAAGACUUCCAAGAGUAAUGAGGUUUCGCCAAGGUUUGUUGUAUUUAUCGUGGAUAGUUUUCAGGAAAUAACUUACCAGAAAGCCUGAUUGAUUUGACAGUCAUUUUGACCUGUGAUUUAUGUAUUAAAUACAAUUUCAAGAUUCCUGGAAUAAAGUAUUCCUAAUAGAUUGUAGAUCCUGUAUCUUUUUAUAAGCAAAUAAUCCCUUGUGAUUUUUAAAGUUGCAAGAAAAUGCUGAUGGAAAAAUUUUCAUGAUGUUGAAAUAGGUAUAAAUAGAAGCUUAUACAAAGCCACUGUCUCAACAUCAGCAGGAUAAGAGAUAAGAACUUCUGAGAUAUUAUACUGUUUCCCAAAGAAAACACUACUCAGUUUUUUUUCCUUCCCCUUUUUCUCUCCCCACCCUGUACUUUCCUCCUUUCCAUCCCUAUUAACUGAGUUCCACCUAUGGUUUUAAUCUUACUAAAUCAGAAAUUGGCUUAGUUUCAUUUGAAUUUCCUUUUAUAUGUGCCCAUGAUUAAAAACAACAAAAACCCUGCUUUUGAUCACAAUAAGAUCUUUACCAUCUCUAACCAUUCCUUCUCCAGUAUAUGAAGUAUAUGAAUUAUUCUAAUUCAAUAGGAUUCUAAUGCAAUUUGGCAAUAACUAGUGUUUGGAUUUAAAAAGCCAUUGGCAUAAACAGAAGGAGAUGUUUAGGGGAAAUGAGCAGGCAAGCAGAUAAUUUAGAAAGAAGUGAUGGUUUCUGUGGUUAAAAAUAAAAGUCUGGGAUUUAGUUUUUCUUUGCCAUACAGAAAACAGAUGUUGCUAUUUUUGUUCAAAAUACAAAACUUAAAUUCCAUGCUUAGACUCUGGAAUGUGUAAAGUAACUAUGGAUACCAAAUUUAUGAUUUAAAAAAAUCUGACAUUUAAUCUGUUCAUAUUUGAAAUCAGGAAAUAAUUGUGCUCCUGAAAUGUUAACUUUCUAUAUAACAGAUUGACUGAUUUAUAUACUCAGGAACACUGAAGAUACUCUCAGUUCAGGGCUCUCUUUGGGGGCAUAAGGUUAUUACACUAUAUAGUCUCUUGGGAACAAAAAUAAAAAUAGGCCAUGGAGAGAUGUUCUUGCUCCUCCUUUUUCUCCUUUCUAUAAUCCUUUUCUUCCCCCAGAAAGAUCCUGAGAGAGAGACAACCUGGCUUUCACCAGCCUACUGCUGUGCCCUUGCACAGCUGCUGGCCCACUUGGGUGGAGGCUUCCAGUGGCACCCUCCACUGGGACACUCGUACCCCCCAUCCUGGUCCCCAGAGGCUCCAUGUCUCACUUCCCACCCCAUCCUUGGGAAACGAGGUGAGCUAGUAAAAUGGAGUAAUUGUCUUCUGCAGUUUGCUUUAGUGUGGGCAAGAAAUUCCCAAUCUCAUAUCACUUGCUUUUAUAUGUGAGAAAUAAUUAUUCUAAUUCUGCCCUGUCCGAACAAAUCUAUGACCAGUGGAAGAAAUCAUGAAGAUAACAGUUUUCAUCCCAUUGGGUCAAUAUUGAGUGUUAUAAUAUCUCUGAGGCCCCCACUAGGAUGUAAGCCCCAAGAGGGCAGUGAUGGCGCCUGAGUGCUCACCAAUGGAUACAUUCACUCAGACACAGUCACUGCCUAGCAAGUAGUAGAUGCUCAGACACACAAAGAAAUUAAAAAAGGAAAGAAUAAAAUAUGCAAGCACACUUACAGCAAUAAUAGUGACUUCCCCAAUGUAAUAUGUUCAUAAGACUGAUCAAUCUGUUAUAAAUGCAAUGAUGCUUCUAUUUUUAAGAAAAAAACUCAUACAUUUUCCUUAUACAAAUUAUGUGAGCAGAGUUUACAUUGGGGUGUUUUGGAAUGAACUGUUUAAUUACUAUUUUCCAGGUUUGUCAGAAUAAUCAUUUAUCUGAACCCACUAAAAUUUCUACUUGUGUGUGUCUCUUUUUUUUCUUUUUCCUGGCUGCCCAUGAGAAUGCUGAGACGUUAUCAAAUAGAUUUCAGUUCUGUGACCUGAAUUGCAGUUGUGUAAGUGCUAUAAAUAAAAAUCAUUUGCUUUAGUAAUUGAAUAGUAAACUGAAAGACAGUAUUGUAGAUGUUAAUAUUUCAAUGUGAACAUCUAAUAAAAAGAACAAACACUGCUUUCUAGAAUGGAAGCAAAAGUUAUGGGUUUCUCCAUAGUCAUAUUUUAUUCAUUAUUCUACUUUCUGCACACUGUAUAUGCUUGAGGUAAAACAAUAAUCAAGAUGAUAAAUACAUAAAGACCGUUAGUUGUAGUCUGGGAGCCUCAAUAAGAGUGGUAUUGUGGCUUAAUGUCCCAUGGUUCUAGCUUUUCUCCACACAGCAGGAUUUAGAUGUUUUCAUUACUAAACGAAGAAGUCACCAUUUGUCCUAAGAUACACUAAGACAAAUAGGAAUUUAAAACUUAUACGAAAGACAUCUUUUUCUUGGGUUAGAGAUGUCUAAUACAUCAUUUCUACAGGAUUAAUUUUUUUAAUUAUAUGGAUUAGAAAACUAAGAAGCAGGAAUAUCAGAUCACUCUGGUUUGUUUCUGUGAAAUUGUCUGUUGUAAAUUGAGUACUCACUAGUAUUCAUGGUGGCAGUUGCAAAAUUACCAGUAUAUUAAAACUCGCUCACAUUGUA
Molecule: non-coding RNA, 4831 nt
Organism: Macaca mulatta (Rhesus monkey)
Lineage: Eukaryota; Metazoa; Chordata; Mammalia; Primates; Cercopithecidae
Source: RefSeq, a predicted model, not a curated record